This 187-nucleotide non-coding RNA is filed under the name Chromatiaceae bacterium. RNAcentral describes it as "6S RNA". It matches the Rfam family "6S / SsrS RNA". From Rfam's summary of the family: E. coli 6S RNA was the first non coding RNA to be sequenced, but its function was unknown until recently. It consists of 184 nucleotides that fold into an extended hairpin structure with a large single-stranded internal bulge. Lineage: Bacteria; Pseudomonadati; Pseudomonadota; Gammaproteobacteria; Chromatiales; Chromatiaceae. The record is from RNAcentral.
CAUCCUCUGCAGUGUUCGUGAACUGGCUUAGUAAACCCUUGAGCCUUAGUACAUUAGACGGGGGGUCAGGAAUACUACAGUGGUGUGCAUGUCCGUCCUGAACGGAAAGCCUGAACUGUAGCCGAGACUCCCACUUGAACCUGCCGGUUCAAGGUCACAAACCAGAAACGGCACAGGCGGAGGAUGU